RNAcentral lists this long non-coding RNA (590 nucleotides) under Trifolium pratense (red clover). RNAcentral describes it as "long non-coding RNA (TPRA_LNC013231)". Lineage: Eukaryota; Viridiplantae; Streptophyta; Magnoliopsida; Fabales; Fabaceae. The record is from RNAcentral.
GCAAAUCCAUGAUAUCUAAUAAUGAAGCACAAACACUUCAUUCCCUCUCUCCUUCUUCAUCUUCAUCCUCAUCUUCAUUCAAUUCAUAAAAAAUCCAGAAAAAUCAUCAUCAACAAGAUCUAGAAAAAAAUCACAAAACAACUCAAAAAUUCAUUAACAAAAUAAAUCAACAACAACAAAAUCCACAAUUCCCAAAUUUGCACAUCAUUCCCAAAUUUACAUUUCAUCUUUCCAUUAACUGAGAUUUGAAAAAAAGAUUGCAACCACAAAAAGGAUUAUACACGGCGAAUUAACUGUGGUUUGCGGUGGUGCACGGCGAAUUCGCGACGGAGGAGGUGGUUGCGGCGGUGUGCGGCGGAAACCUCUCCUUCUUUUCUUUCCUCUGCUUCUUCUUGCUUGUUCUGAUUUAUGUUCUUUGAUUUUGACUGUGUUUGAUGGUUUUUUAUGCGAGUGAAUGGUUUAAGGUGGUCGUGAUUUGUUGUUACAGUGGUGGUUGUUGUUGAAGAGUAAAGUCUAAUGGUAGAGAUGAAGAAGGUGAGAGGUGAUUAAGGUUUGGUGUUGUAAGAAUGGUGGUGCGUGUUUUAUUUUCU